Molecule: transfer RNA, 66 nt
Filed under: Halichoeres tenuispinis (Chinese wrasse)
Lineage: Eukaryota; Metazoa; Chordata; Actinopteri; Labriformes; Labridae
Description: tRNA-Cys
Source: RNAcentral
AGCUCUGAGGUGUUUUACACGCCGGAUUGCAAAUCCGGAGUAGUCGAGUAGUAUCGACCGGGGCUU